UACGGGGGGGGCAAGCGUUGUUCGGAAUUACUGGGCGUAAAGGGCUCGUAGGCGGCCAACUAAGUCGGAUGUGAAAUCCCCAAGCUUAACUUGGGAACUGCAUCCGAUACUGGAUGGCUUGAAUCCGGGAGAGGGAUGCAGAAUUCCAGGUGUAGCGGUGAAAUGCGUAGAUAUCUGGAGGAAUACCGGUGGCGAAGGCGGCAUCCUGGACCGGCAUUGACGCUGAGGAGCGAAAGCUAGGGGAGCAAACGAG
Molecule: ribosomal RNA, 253 nt
Filed under: uncultured bacterium
Lineage: Bacteria
Description: partial 16S ribosomal RNA
Rfam family: Bacterial small subunit ribosomal RNA
Source: RNAcentral